Molecule: ribosomal RNA, 632 nt
Filed under: uncultured soil bacterium
Lineage: Bacteria
Description: bacterial SSU rRNA
Rfam family: Bacterial small subunit ribosomal RNA
Source: RNAcentral
CACGCUGGCGGCGUGCCUCAGACAUGCAAGUCGAACGCGAAAGUCCCCUUCGGGGGGCAAGUAGAGUGGCGCACGGGUGAGUAACACGUAGGUAAUCUACCUUUGGAUUGGGAAUAACCACCGGAAACGGUGGUUAAUACCGAAUAAUGCAGCGGCACCUAAUGGUGACAGUUGUUAAGGCGGGGGAUCGCAAGACCUCGCGUCUAAAGAGGAGCCUGCGGCGGAUUAGCUAGUUGGUAAGGUAACGGCUUACCAAGGCGAUGAUCCGUAGCCGGCCUGAGAGGGCGGUCGGCCACACUGACACUGACAUACGGGUCAGACUCCUACGGGAGGCAGCAGUCGGGAAUUUUGGGCAAUGGCGAAAGCCUGACCCAGCAACGCCGCGUGAAGGAUGAAAUCCCUCGGGAUGUAAACUUCGCAAGAACGGGAAGAAUAAGCCGGUGUUAAUACCUCCGGCGAUGACGGUACUGUUUGUAAGCUCCGGCUAACUCCGUGCCAGCAGCCGCGGUAAUACGGGGGGAGCAAGCGUUGUUCGGAUUUACUGGGCGUAAAGGGCGCGUAGGCGGCCACCGCAAGUCGACUGUGAAAUCUCCGGGCUUAACCCGGAAAGGUCAGCCGAUACUGCGGGGCUA